AGUAUUGUGCAGUGGCAGUAUUGAAGCCUGUGAGGUUGAACUGAGGCACAGCCAUUGCUAGUUGAAAGCUUUUAACUU
RNAcentral lists this small nuclear RNA (78 nucleotides) under Alligator mississippiensis (American alligator). Its description in RNAcentral is "U4 spliceosomal RNA". It matches the Rfam family "U4 spliceosomal RNA", at positions 1 to 78 of the family's 138-position model. Rfam says of the family: U4 small nuclear RNA (U4 snRNA) is a component of the major U2-dependent spliceosome. The structure of U4 snRNA from yeast and human has been reported. Lineage: Eukaryota; Metazoa; Chordata; Crocodylia; Alligatoridae. The record is from Rfam by way of RNAcentral.